RNAcentral lists this ribosomal RNA (246 nucleotides) under uncultured bacterium. Its description in RNAcentral is "partial 16S ribosomal RNA". It matches the Rfam family "Bacterial small subunit ribosomal RNA", at positions 113 to 353 of the family's 1533-position model. The record is from RNAcentral.
ACACGUAGGUAACCUGCCCAUGUGCCCGGGAUAACUUCUGGAAACGGAUGCUAAAACCGGAUAGGUAGCAGACAAGCAUUUGACUGCUAUUAAAGUGGCUAAGGCCAUGAACAUGGAUGGACCUGCGGUGCAUUAGCUAGUUGGUGAGGUAACGGCCCACCAAGGCGACGAUGCAUAGCCGGCCUGAGAGGGCGGACGGCCACAUUGGGACUGAGACACGGCCAAACUCCUACGGGAGGCAGCAUG